UGAGUAACGCGUGAGGAACCUGCCUUUCAGGAGGGGGACAACAGUUGGAAACGACUGCUAAUACCGCAUAACGUAUAGAGAUCGCAUGGUCUUUAUACCAAAGUAUUUUAUCGCUGAAAGAUGGCCUCGCGUCUGAUUAGCUAGUUGGUGAGGUAACGGCCCACCAAGGCGACGAUCAGUAGCCGGACUGAGAGGUUGACCGGCCACAGUUGGGACUGAGAUACCGGCCCAGACUCCUACAGGAGGCAGCAGUGGGGGAUAUUGGGCAAUGGGCGCAAGCCUGACCCAGCAACGCCGCGUGAAGGAAGAAGGCUUUCGGGUUGUAAACUUCUUUUGUCAGGGAAGAGUAGAAGACUGUACCUGGCGAAUAAGCCACGGCUAACUACGUG
This 389-nucleotide ribosomal RNA is filed under the name uncultured bacterium. RNAcentral describes it as "bacterial SSU rRNA". It matches the Rfam family "Bacterial small subunit ribosomal RNA", at positions 107 to 507 of the family's 1533-position model. The record is from RNAcentral.